RNAcentral lists this ribosomal RNA (301 nucleotides) under uncultured bacterium. RNAcentral describes it as "partial 16S ribosomal RNA". It matches the Rfam family "Bacterial small subunit ribosomal RNA", at positions 509 to 807 of the family's 1533-position model. The record is from RNAcentral.
CAGUCGCCACGGUAAUACGAAGGGUGCAAGCGUUAAUCGGAAUUACUGGGCGUAAAGCGUGCGUAGGCGGUUUGUUAAGUCUGUUGUGAAAUCCCCGGGCUCAACCUGGGAAUGGCAAUGGAUACUGGCAAGCUAGAGUGUGUCAGAGGAUGGUGGAAUUCCCGGUGUAGCGGUGAAAUGCGUAGAGAUCGGGAGGAACAUCAGUGGCGAAGGCGGCCAUCUGGGACAACACUGACGCUGAGGCACGAAAGCGUGGGGAGCAAACGGGAUUAGAUACCCGCGUAGUCCCUGUCUCUUAUAC